Molecule: transfer RNA, 40 nt
Filed under: Pelagomonas calceolata
Lineage: Eukaryota; Pelagophyceae; Pelagomonadales; Pelagomonadaceae
Description: partial tRNA
Source: RNAcentral
CGGCCACACUAUCUCGCUUUGAGUCCAAGUACCGCGGAGA